RNAcentral lists this ribosomal RNA (500 nucleotides) under uncultured bacterium. Its description in RNAcentral is "partial 16S ribosomal RNA". It matches the Rfam family "Bacterial small subunit ribosomal RNA", at positions 29 to 523 of the family's 1533-position model. The record is from RNAcentral.
AUUGAACGCUGGCGGAAUGCUUUACACAUGCAAGUCGAACGGCAGCACGGACUUCGGUCUGGUGGCGAGUGGCGAACGGGUGAGUAAUACAUCGGAACGUGCCCAGUCGUGGGGGAUAACGUAGCGAAAGCUACGCUAAUACCGCAUACGAUCUACGGAUGAAAGCGGGGGAUCGCAAGACCUCGCGCGAUUGGAGCGGCCGAUGGCAGAUUAGGUAGUUGGUAGGGUAAAGGCCUACCAAGCCGACGACCUGUAGCUGGUCUGAGAGGAUGAGCAGCCACACUGGGACUGAGACACGGCCCAGACUCCUACGAGAGGCAGCAGUGGGGAAUUUUGGACAAUGGGGGCAACCCUGAUCCAGCCAUGCCGCGUGAGUGAAGAAGGCCUUCGGGUUGUAAAGCUCUUUCGGCCGGGAAGAAAUCGUACGGGUUAAUACCCUGUGCGGAUGACGGUACCGGCAUAAGAAGCACCGGCUAACUACGUGCCAGCAGCCGCAGUAA